This 515-nucleotide ribosomal RNA is filed under the name uncultured Pseudomonadota bacterium. RNAcentral describes it as "bacterial SSU rRNA". It matches the Rfam family "Bacterial small subunit ribosomal RNA", at positions 391 to 896 of the family's 1533-position model. Lineage: Bacteria; Pseudomonadati; Pseudomonadota. The record is from RNAcentral.
GCGACGCCGCGUGAGUGAGGAAGGCCUUCGGGUCGUAAAGCUCUGUCAGAAGGGAAGAAGUGUUAUACGGUUAAUACCCGUAUAAUUUGACGGUACCUUCAGAGGAAGCACCGGCUAACUCCGUGCCAGCAGCCGCGGUAAUACGGAGGGUGCGAGCGUUGUUCGGAAUUACUGGGCGUAAAGGGCGCGUAGGCGGCUUUAUAAGUCAGAUGUGAAAGCCCACGGCUUAACUGUGGAAGUGCAUUUGAAACUGUGAAGCUUGAGUAUCGGAGGGGAGUGUGGAAUUCCCGGUGUAGAGGUGAAAUUCGUAGAGAUCGGGAGGAACACCGGUGGCGAAGGCGACACUCUGGACGAAUACUGACGCUGAGGCGCGAAAGCGUGGGGAGCAAACAGGAUUAGAUACCCUGGUAGUCCACGCCGUAAACGAUGUGAACUAGAGGUAGGUGGUGUUGAUCCCAUCUGUCUCGCAGCUAACGCAUUAAGUUCACCGCCUGGGGAGUACGGUCGCAAGAUUA